This 438-nucleotide ribosomal RNA is filed under the name uncultured bacterium. Its description in RNAcentral is "bacterial SSU rRNA". It matches the Rfam family "Bacterial small subunit ribosomal RNA", at positions 28 to 479 of the family's 1533-position model. The record is from RNAcentral.
GACGAACGCUGGCGGCGCGCCUAACACAUGCAAGUCGAACGAGUGAGAGAGAGCUUGCUUUCUCGAGCGAGUGGCGAACGGGUGAGUAACGCGUGAGGAACCUGCCUCAAAGAGGGGGACAACAGUUGGAAACGACUGCUAAUACCGCAUAAGCCCACAGGUCGGCAUCGACCAGAGGGAAAAGGAGCAAUCCGCUUUGAGAUGGCCCCGCGUCCGAUUAGCUAGUUGGUGAGGUAAUGGCCCACCAAGGCGACGAUCGGUAGCCGGACUGAGAGGUUGAACGGCCACAUUGGGACUGAGACACGGCCCAGACUCCUACGGGAGGCAGCAGUGGGGAAUAUUGCACAAUGGGGGAAACCCUGAUGCAGCGACGCCGCGUGGAGGAAGAAGGUCUUCGGAUUGUAAACUCCUGUUGUUGAGGAAGAUAAUGACGGUACU